Molecule: unclassified non-coding RNA, 378 nt
Filed under: plant metagenome
Description: partial contains 5.8S ribosomal RNA, internal transcribed spacer 2, and large subunit ribosomal RNA
Rfam family: 5.8S ribosomal RNA (bases 1-105)
Source: RNAcentral
GAAAUGCGAUAAGUAAUGUGAAUUGCAGAAUUCAGUGAAUCAUCGAAUCUUUGAACGCACAUUGCGCCCGCCAGUAUUCUGGCGGGCAUGCCUGUUUGAGUAUCAUGAAAUCUUCAAAGUAAAUCUUUUGUUAACUCAAUUGGUUUCUACUUUGGUAUUGGAGGUCUUUGCAGCUUCACACCUGCUCCUCUUUGUUCAUUAGCUGGAUCUCAGUGUUAUGCUUGGUUCCACUCGGCGUGAUAAGUUAUCUAUCGCUGAGGACACUGUAAAAGGUGGCCAAGGUAAAUGCAGAUGAACCGCUUCUAAUAGUCCAUUGACUUGGACAAUACUUUUAUGAUCUGAUCUCAAAUCAGGUAGGACUACCCGCUGAACUUAAGC